This is a small nuclear RNA of Nycticebus coucang (slow loris), 102 nucleotides long. NCBI's taxonomy places the organism in Eukaryota, Metazoa, Chordata, Mammalia, Primates, Lorisidae. The record is from RefSeq and is a predicted model, not a curated record.
CUUGCUUCAGUAACACAUACUAAAAUUGGAACGAUACAAAGAAGACCAGCAUGGCUCUUGUGCAAGGAUGACACACAAAUUUGUGAAGCAUUCCAUAUUUAA